UACGUAGGGGCCAAGCGUUGUCCGGAAUCAUUGGGCGUAAAGAGCGUGUAGGCGGCCAGAUAAGUCCGCUGUGAAAUCUCGAGGCUCAACUUCGAGCUGUCGGUGGAAACUGUCUGGCUAGAGUCCGGAAGAGGAGAAUGGAAUUCCUGGUGUAGCGGUGAAAUGCGCAGAUAUCAGGAAGAACACCGGUGGCGAAGGCGGAUCUCUGGGCCGUUACUGACGCUGAGGAGCGAAAGCGUGGGGAGCGAACAGG
RNAcentral lists this ribosomal RNA (253 nucleotides) under uncultured bacterium. RNAcentral's name for it is "partial 16S ribosomal RNA". It matches the Rfam family "Bacterial small subunit ribosomal RNA", at positions 524 to 776 of the family's 1533-position model. The record is from RNAcentral.